Canis lupus familiaris (dog) is the source of this 1784-nucleotide long non-coding RNA. RefSeq lists it as uncharacterized. NCBI's taxonomy places the organism in Eukaryota, Metazoa, Chordata, Mammalia, Carnivora, Canidae. The record is from RefSeq and is a predicted model, not a curated record. The transcript has 3 exons.
AGCACAUCUCAAUUCGGACUGGGCACAGUCAAGCGUUCAAUAGCCACUUAGUAGUCAUCGAAUCAGAUGCUGGAGACUUACAGAGUGUGAAAAAUUGCUACUUUUGAAGAAAACACUUGCGGUACCUGCCCUUCAGAAUCCGUCAUCAUGUUGUAAGGAAGUCCAGAUCAUAUGAAGAGGCCACAGGAAAAUAUUGUCUGAAUUCAUGAACAUCAAAGACCAUUCUGUCCAGCUCUAGCAUUCUACUGUUUAUGAAAAGAAAUCGAGCCCUACUAUCAAAUCAUCCAAUCAUUCCAAUGAAGGAAAGAGAAACCAAAGAAGGGAAUAUACAUGUCUUGUUAUUGUGUGUAUAUACCUUUAUGUAUAAUCACCUAUGACCCUUUGGAUAUUAUUGUAUGUGGUUUUCUUCCUGAUAAUAGUGGGUUUCUGGACACAUUACCACCAAAUAUAGUGCCCUUGGCAUGUUGAAUAUUUUAAGCUGAAGAAGUUUGAGAAAAUGACAGAAGCAAGAAGAUCACUCUGACCAUCCCCCUUCCGACUUGACCUUUCUUCCUUAAAACAGAUCAUAAAACCCUCAUGUCAGAGGUAACCUUCCUCUACUCAGGGAAAAGGAGCAUCUUUAUCUCUGAAGACAAGGGGAUACCAAGGAGGAUUCUAAGAAACAGGCCUUACUAAGUUUCCUCCAGUUUACUAUGCUUACCACAUACUCCUUAACCUGUCUUAUUCUAACAUGCUGUUGACUUUUCAUGAACCUAGCAUAAAAAUACACAGGCUUAACUGUUUCUUUGGGUUUCUUGGGCUCCUGUGUCACAUAAGACCUAUAUUGAAUAAAUUUGUUGGAUUUUUUUUUUUUUCAGUUUAACUUUUAGACCCACCCAGCAAUCCUAAGAGGGUUACAAUUUUUUUUCUCUCUCCUGUAAUACACACAAUUAUUUUCUUGGGUACAUUUUUGUAAAAAUCUUUGUUCUUAAAGUAUUUUCACUUAGCAUUCAUAUGAGGAUUAAGGGUGAUAGUUAUGGUAACCCUGACAGUUUUUAAGAACUCUUUAUGAUGUCCUGGAUCUGACCUACUUAUGGCACUUAAUUUGAUUCAGUCCAAUACAAUCAAUUUUAUUCUGCAGCAUUUUCCCAUGUGCAUCCCCUGUAAACAUUACAUUAACUCAUGGAAACCUGGCUCGAAAUUCUCUUCCAGUGGAAAAGUUAAUGCCAUGAGUGAGUAGGCUGGCUAAUUAAUAAUUUUAGAGGUUAUGGUGAAAUGUUCCUUAGUAGGAAUUUCCAUUUUGGAAGAGCAGAGCCUAUUUUUUUUCUUGUCCUGAGCGAUAUGCAUGAUAUAAAACUUUUCAUAUCUCUAAAGGCUUAAACUAGAAGCUACUGUUGGUUGGCCUUUUUUUUUUUUUUUUUAAGUGUUUCUCCUAGCAGGAGAAUAAUAAAAAGUAUUGCCUUUUAUAAUCAUUCACCAGCGAACAGUCCAUAGAUUCAUCAAAUGAAAAAUUCUUCAUAAAGAAAAUCCAAAACAUACUAAUCAAGCAAACCUAGGCAAGUUUGCAUAUUUUUGCAGAAAAUUAGAUUAGUCAAAGUAAGACUUAGAUAAUGUUCCAAAUCUCUAUCAACUCAUUUGUUUGUAGGUUCAUCAGAAGAGGAUUUAACUGGCCAAAAUGAGGGGGCAAGGAAGUAAAAGUCUCCUAAUGUUUAACUGCUUGCAGCUGCUAACUUUGUAUCCAGCCAAUAAAGAUUUAUAAACAGUACAUUCUUUGUUUCAUGCUGAGGUUUCUCCAUAUACAAAAA